RNAcentral lists this non-coding RNA (29 nucleotides) under Rattus norvegicus (Norway rat). The record is from RNAcentral. Lineage: Eukaryota; Metazoa; Chordata; Mammalia; Rodentia; Muridae.
UGACUUUGGUAACGGGGAUAUCCUGUCGA